UUAGUUAGUAGGAAAGGAUAUUGUCUUGAUAUCCAGGGUUUCCAUUUAAAAUACGUGGUUCUAAAAACCAAUAUCUUCAAUAAAAGAGAGGUGAUGUCAUCCUCAA
Molecule: long non-coding RNA, 106 nt
Organism: Etheostoma cragini (Arkansas darter)
Lineage: Eukaryota; Metazoa; Chordata; Actinopteri; Perciformes; Percidae
Exons: 3
Source: RefSeq, a predicted model, not a curated record